AGUAAAUGAGAAAAGUAUUGCUUUCCAACUUUCCAACUUUCCAACUUUCCUCUAUCCUCUAUCCUCUAUCCCCUUCUCUGGUGUGAUAUCAGUCAUCAAUCAUCAUCAUCUUUUGUUCUAAUAUGUUGGGUACAAAGAUGAUUAAAGAAAUGAAUAUUUUUUCUUUGUUUUCGAAUCAGCUUCGGAGGAAUGGUCCUCGGAAUCGGAUGCUUACAAGUGUCGUGGACUUAUGUGGUGGUGGCGUUGUGCUUUGGGCGGCUGUAGAAACUUGCUUUGACGCCGAGAUCGAAUUACAUUGAAUAGUGGCGUAUAUAGUUUUGGGGUGCUUAUUCUCGAGAGUUUAACCGGAAAACAUCCAUUAGACAUCUUUCCUGAAGGGUCAAACCUUGUGCAAUAGGUACAAGACCAUAUGCGAAGAAAAGGUGAUCCAACACACAUUAUUGACGAAAAGCUUAAAGGAUCUGAUCCUGAUAUACUUCUUGAGAUGCAAGAAAUGUUGAAUAUCUCUUUAUAUUGUGUUUCCAGACGAGUUGAGGAUCGCCCCACCAUGAAGGAUGUAGUGGCUAUGCUAAUGCUUAUUCGACGUGCUAAUGAUCCUAGUGCAGAACCUCAGGGCCUUAUGCAAGAUCUUUCUGUACCUUCUGCAAGUGCAAGUCAUAGUAGUAUCCAAUAAGAAUCAAUCAAACAAAAUAAUGAAACUCCUCUGUUUCUUUGCAUCUUUGUUUGAGUUGUAUAUAUAGAGGUUGGGAUUAAUGACUGAGAUAAUUAAUUGGUUUCCAUUAUCAUCAUUGUAUGUUGCUAUUGGGUGAUUUAUCCAAUGCGUACUUUAAGUUUAUGCGUAAGUCGUUCUACAUAUUAUAUGUUGGAAUUUAGGAGGCAGGUUACUUUCUAGUUCAGUUCAGUUCGGUUCAGCUCAGUUCAAUUCGGUUCAGCUCAGCUGUUCUAUGCCGAAGAGAACAAGACUUAAGUAAUAAAAUACAAAUUUACCAUCUUUUAUCAUUA
Long non-coding RNA from Beta vulgaris subsp. vulgaris (sugar beet), 1002 nucleotides. RefSeq lists it as uncharacterized. The transcript is spliced from 2 exons. The record is from RefSeq and is a predicted model, not a curated record. Lineage: Eukaryota; Viridiplantae; Streptophyta; Magnoliopsida; Caryophyllales; Amaranthaceae.